This 300-nucleotide ribosomal RNA is filed under the name uncultured Gammaproteobacteria bacterium. RNAcentral's name for it is "bacterial SSU rRNA". It matches the Rfam family "Bacterial small subunit ribosomal RNA", at positions 114 to 415 of the family's 1533-position model. Lineage: Bacteria; Pseudomonadati; Pseudomonadota; Gammaproteobacteria. The record is from RNAcentral.
CGCGUAGGAAUCUACCUAUUAGUGGGGGAUAACAUGGAGAAAUUCAUGCUAAUACCGCAUAUGCCCUACGGGGUAAAGAGGGCCUCUUCUUGAAAGCUCUUGCUAGUAGAUGAGCCUGCGUCGGAUUAGCUUGUUGGUGGGGUAAUGGCCUACCAAGGCGACGAUCCGUAGCUGGUCUGAGAGGAUGAUCAGCCACACUGGGACUGAGACACGGCCCAGACUCCUACGGGAGGCAGCAGUGGGGAAUAUUGGACAAUGGGCGCAAGCCUGAUCCAGCAAUACCUCGUGUGUGAAGAAGGC